AACGAACGCUGGCGGCAUGCCUAACACAUGCAAGUCGAACGAGACCUUCGGGUCUAGUGGCGCACGGGUGCGUAACGCGUGGGAACCUGCCCUUAGGUUCGGAAUAACUCCCCGAAAGGGGUGCUAAUACCGGAUAAUGUCUUCGGACCAAAGAUUUAUCGCCUUUGGAUGGGCCCGCGUUGGACUAGCUAGUUGGUAGGGUAAAAGCCUACCAAGGCGACGAUCCAUAGCUGGUCUGAGAGGAUGAUCAGCCACACUGGGACUGAGACACGGCCCAGACGCCCAGGGGAGGCAGCAGGAGGGCAUCUUCCGCCAUGAGCGACAGCGUGUCGGAGAAACGCCGCGUGAUGGAUGAAGGUCUACGGCUCGUGAACAUAUGUGAUUAGGGAGGAACAUAUGUGUACGUACCUGUGCACAGCGUGACGGUACCUAAUCAGAAAGCCACCGCUAACUACGUG
This 458-nucleotide ribosomal RNA is filed under the name uncultured bacterium. RNAcentral describes it as "partial 16S ribosomal RNA". It matches the Rfam family "Bacterial small subunit ribosomal RNA", at positions 29 to 507 of the family's 1533-position model. The record is from RNAcentral.